GCUCUUCCCGGGGACAAUGUGGGCUUCAAUGUCAAGAACGUAUCUGUCAAAGAUGUUCGUCGUGGCAAUGUGGCUGGUGACAGCAAAAAUGACCCACCAAUGGAAGCAGCUGGCUUCACGGCUCAGGUAACACUUUAAAGUGGCAGUGUUCUCAACUUAACUGCCAGACUCCUGCCUUUUGAGAUUUAUUAAAUGCAAAUCUUUCCUCCAAGGUGAUUAUCCUGAACCAUCCAGGCCAAAUCAGUGCUGGAUAUGCACCUGUGCUGGAUUGUCACACGGCUCACAUUGCUUGCAAGUUUGCUGAGCUGAAGGAGAAAAUAGAUCGUCGAUCUGGAAAAAAGCUGGAAGAUGGUCCCAAGUUCUUGAAAUCUGGUGAUGCUGCCAUUGUUGAUAUGGUUCCUGGCAAGCCUAUGUGUGUUGAGAGCUUCUCUGACUAUCCUCCUCUGGGUAAGGAUGACUUUGAGUGUAAUUAGGAAAUUACAAGUUAGAAAAUAGUGCUUGUGUGGAGAGUUUCUGAUGGUCUAAAAUUUGUUUUAAUAGGCCGUUUUGCUGUUCGUGACAUGAGACAGACGGUUGCUGUGGGUGUCAUCAAAGCAGUGGACAAGAAGGCAGCUGGAGCUGGCAAGGAUCCAGUCCAAGUCACCACUGUUUUGGUUACUUUUAAAAACUCACAUGUUGGGAGUUUAUAUUUAUCUCUGCUGUAUCUCAUCUUGAGGCAAUUUUGAAUCUGGAACCUGCUAUCUAGCAUGUUAAAUAAAAAUGUGGGCUUUGUUAUUUA
This is a long non-coding RNA of Zalophus californianus (California sea lion), 778 nucleotides long. RefSeq lists it as uncharacterized. The record is from RefSeq and is a predicted model, not a curated record. Lineage: Eukaryota; Metazoa; Chordata; Mammalia; Carnivora; Otariidae. The transcript is spliced from 2 exons.